GGCUCACUCCGGGGAGAUAUCUCGCGGACACGAUCUGCUUCUCGGCUCCAACUUCAAAAA
This 60-nucleotide small RNA is filed under the name Caenorhabditis elegans. Its description in RNAcentral is "Unclassified non-coding RNA Y60A9A.5". Lineage: Eukaryota; Metazoa; Nematoda; Chromadorea; Rhabditida; Rhabditidae. The record is from RNAcentral.